This 376-nucleotide ribosomal RNA is filed under the name uncultured bacterium. Its description in RNAcentral is "bacterial SSU rRNA". It matches the Rfam family "Bacterial small subunit ribosomal RNA", at positions 523 to 898 of the family's 1533-position model. The record is from RNAcentral.
AUACGUAGGGGGCGAGCGUUGUCCGGAAUUAUUGGGCGUAAAGCGCGCGCAGGCGGCCGGUUAAGUCAGAUGUGAAAGGCUGCGGCUCAACCGCAGAGCGGCAUCUGAAACUGGCCGGCUUGAGUGCAGGAGAGGGGAGCGGAAUUCCCGGUGUAGCGGUGGAAUGCGUAGAGAUCGGGAGGAACACCAGUGGCGAAGGCGGCUCUCUGGCCUGUAACUGACGCUGAGGCGCGAAAGCGUGGGGAGCGAACAGGAUUAGAUACCCUGGUAGUCCACGCCGUAAACGAUGAGUGCUAGGUGUUGGGGGCAUCACGCCCUCUGUGCCGAAGGAAACCCAAUAAGCACUCCGCCUGGGGAGUACGGCCGCAAGGCUGAA